CCUACGGGGGGCAGCAGUCGAGAAUCAUUCACAAUGGGGGAAACCCUGAUGGUGCGACGCCGCGUGGGGGAAUGAAGGUCUUCGGAUUGUAAACCCCUUUCAUGUGGGAGCAAAUUAAAAAGAUAGUACCACAAGAGGAAGAGACGGCUAACUCUGUGACAGCAGCCGCGGUACUACAGAGGUCUCAAGCGUUGUUCGGAAUCACUGGGCGUAAAGCGUGCGUAGGCUGUUUCGUAAGUCGUGUGUGAAAGGCGCGGGCUCAACCCGCGGACGGCACAUGAUACUGCGGGACUAGAGUAAUGGAGGGGGAACCGGAAUUCUCGGUGUAGCAGUGAAAUGCGUAGAUAUCGAGAGGAACACUCGUGGCGAAGGCGGGUUCCUGGACAUUAACUGACGCUGAGGCACGAAGGCCAGGGGAGCGAAAGGGAUUAGAUACCCCAGUAGUC
RNAcentral lists this ribosomal RNA (446 nucleotides) under uncultured bacterium. Its description in RNAcentral is "partial 16S ribosomal RNA". It matches the Rfam family "Bacterial small subunit ribosomal RNA", at positions 338 to 795 of the family's 1533-position model. The record is from RNAcentral.